RNAcentral lists this ribosomal RNA (322 nucleotides) under Ricinoides cf. olounoua DNA104744. RNAcentral's name for it is "eukaryotic LSU rRNA". It matches the Rfam family "Eukaryotic large subunit ribosomal RNA", at positions 666 to 928 of the family's 3401-position model. Lineage: Eukaryota; Metazoa; Arthropoda; Arachnida; Ricinulei; Ricinoididae. The record is from RNAcentral.
CCAAGGAGUCUAACAUGUGCGCAAGUCGCUGAGUCUUGUGUAGGCUCGGAGGCGCAAUGAAAGUGAAGGCCGAUCUGGGCGUCGGCUGUGGUGUGAUCCACCGGGCACCAUCCCGUCGCUUCCUUGUGGAAGGCGGGGCCUGUGGCGCAACACCGGCCCGUCCCGUCCGCAACGUCGGUGGGGCGGAGCGAGAGCGUACACGUUGGGACCCGAAAGAUGGUGAACUAUGCCUGGGCAGGACGAAGCCAGAGGAAACUCUGGUGGAGGUCCGCAGCGAUUCUGACGUGCAAAUCGAUCGUCAGACCUGGGUAUAGGGGCGAAA